Molecule: long non-coding RNA, 692 nt
Organism: Astatotilapia calliptera (eastern happy)
Lineage: Eukaryota; Metazoa; Chordata; Actinopteri; Cichliformes; Cichlidae
Source: Ensembl
GGAUGCCACAAGCUCACCAAGACUCGCAGACAUACACAGUCAGACAUAAAGCAGGAGAGGCGAGACGGACCAGACAAAGAGAAGCUGAGAGCAACUUAGACGAGCUGAGUCACUUGUGUUUAUUUCGAGAGAAUAUAGAAACAGAAAAUGAUGCUGCGGAGUGCCAAGGGGGUGCAAAGGAGCGGGGAUGUGACGGAUUCUGUUACCUGGGUUUGGGCGGUGGCUGUUUCCUGUCUGGGCAAAAGGCGUGGCUGAGGACUCUGGGGACAAAAUGCCUGCUCAGCAGGACCAACCAUGGGCUUACCAGGAGCAGGGGUGGUUUAGGUUUAGUUGGGUUAUUCUGUGCUUAGUUAAUAUUAGUGUGUGUUUGUGUUUUCCCCCCUAUUGAGCAGGGGUGGUUUAGGUUUAGUUGGGUUAUUCUGUGCUUAGUUAAUAUUAGUGUGUGUUUGUGUUUUCCCCCCUAUUGUGUUCAAAUGGUUUGGCCAAAUCAUUAUAAAAGCUACCCUCAUGUGUCUUUUUAAUUAGGUCAGUUUGUGGGUUAAGUUGUGUCUCACUUUGUUGUUUAAGUUUUUGGAAAUUACUUUUUGUAGAGUUAUAUUUAGUUGACCUGUUUUAUGGGCCUGCUAAGUAUGGUUUUGAAUUUUGUUAAUUUUGGAUUUUUUGAGGGUUAAAAUAAAGAAAACCCUUUUUGA